AUGCGCCAGGUGUCUUCCAGUCAUUCACCUUCGUUGCCAUGUCAUUUGCUUUCGUGUUGCACUUUGCCAUGUCAUCAUGUGCAUUUCAUCUACAUGUUUUUCAAAACUUGCAUCCGGUCACUUUCUCCGUUGUCCGUUUCAGAUUCCGACACUCCCACAUGCACCCGUUGCACCUCUCAGAUCUUGUUUCAUGAGCAAGAGAAAAAUGUUCUCAUAGUGGGCCGAAAGUUGAGGAAUGGUCUUGGUACAUCACCGGUAGACCGCCUAGCAAAUUUCGUUUCAUUUGGAGGUCGUUUGAUGCCCCAACGGUUAACUGCGUUAACCGUCAGACCCCUUUCUCUUUGCAGCCCAGCACCCCUCUACAACAGACCACUAGCCCAUCUAAACCCCCUCCAUGCUAUUCGUCGUUGGAUCACGAUCGCGUGGGCAAAAACCGCACCCCAAUAG
This 447-nucleotide ribosomal RNA is filed under the name Triticum aestivum (bread wheat). RNAcentral's name for it is "partial small subunit ribosomal RNA". Lineage: Eukaryota; Viridiplantae; Streptophyta; Magnoliopsida; Poales; Poaceae. The record is from RNAcentral.